UACGUAGGUGGCAAGCGUUGUCCGGAAUUAUUGGGCGUAAAGCGCGCGCAGGCGGCCUCCUAAGUCCGAUGUGAAAGCCCACGGCUCAACCGUGGAGGGUCAUUGGAAACUGGGGGACUCGAGUGUGGCAGAGGGGGGUGGAAUUCCGCGUGUAGCAGUGAAAUGCGUAGAGAUGCGGAGGAACACCGAUGGCGAAGGCAGCCCCCUGGGCUAACACUGACGCUCAGGCACGAAAGCGUGGGGAGCAAACAGG
Molecule: ribosomal RNA, 253 nt
Filed under: uncultured bacterium
Lineage: Bacteria
Description: partial 16S ribosomal RNA
Rfam family: Bacterial small subunit ribosomal RNA
Source: RNAcentral